UACAUGGGGUGCAAACGUUGCUCGGAAUCAUUGGGCGUAAAGCGCGUGAAGGCGGUUACUUAAGUCGGAUGUGAAAGCCCUCGGCUUAACUGAGGAAGUGCAUCCGAAACUGGGUAGCUAGAGUACGAAAGAGGGUCGCGGAAUUCCCGGUGUAGAGGUGAAAUUCGUAGAUAUCGGGAGGAACACCGGUAGCGAAGGCGGCGACCUGGGUCGAGACUGACGCUAAUACGCGAAAGCGUGGGGAGCGAACAGG
Molecule: ribosomal RNA, 253 nt
Filed under: uncultured bacterium
Lineage: Bacteria
Description: partial 16S ribosomal RNA
Rfam family: Bacterial small subunit ribosomal RNA
Source: RNAcentral